This is a non-coding RNA of Syngnathus typhle (broad-nosed pipefish), 72 nucleotides long. NCBI's taxonomy places the organism in Eukaryota, Metazoa, Chordata, Actinopteri, Syngnathiformes, Syngnathidae. The record is from the annotation of a RefSeq genome assembly.
GGUGUGGUGGCCAAGUGGUAAGGCGUCAGUCUUGUAAACUGAAGAUCAUGGGUUUAACACCCAUCCAUACCU